Molecule: ribosomal RNA, 937 nt
Filed under: Limosilactobacillus frumenti
Lineage: Bacteria; Bacillati; Bacillota; Bacilli; Lactobacillales; Lactobacillaceae
Description: bacterial SSU rRNA
Rfam family: Bacterial small subunit ribosomal RNA
Source: RNAcentral
GGUGCAUUAGCUAGUUGGUAAGGUAACGGCUUACCAAGGCGAUGAUGCAUAGCCGAGUUGAGAGACUGAUCGGCCACAAUGGAACUGAGACACGGUCCAUACUCCUACGGGAGGCAGCAGUAGGGAAUCUUCCACAAUGGGCGCAAGCCUGAUGGAGCAACACCGCGUGAGUGAAGAAGGGUUUCGGCUCGUAAAGCUCUGUUGUUGAAGAAGAACGUGCGUGAGAGUAACUGUUCACGCAGUGACGGUAUUCAACCAGAAAGUCACGGCUAACUACGUGCCAGCAGCCGCGGUAAUACGUAGGUGGCAAGCGUUAUCCGGAUUUAUUGGGCGUAAAGCGAGCGCAGGCGGUUGCUUAGGUCUGAUGUGAAAGCCUUCGGCUUAACCGAAGAAGUGCAUCGGAAACCGGACGACUUGAGUGCAGAAGAGGACAGUGGAACUCCAUGUGUAGCGGUGGAAUGCGUAGAUAUAUGGAAGAACACCAGUGGCGAAGGCGGCUGUCUGGUCUGCAACUGACGCUGAGGCUCGAAAGCAUGGGUAGCGAACAGGAUUAGAUACCCUGGUAGUCCAUGCCGUAAACGAUGAGUGCUAGGUGUUGGAGGGUUUCCGCCCUUCAGUGCCGGAGCUAACGCAUUAAGCACUCCGCCUGGGGAGUACGACCGCAAGGUUGAAACUCAAAGGAAUUGACGGGGGCCCGCACAAGCGGUGGAGCAUGUGGUUUAAUUCGAAGCUACGCGAAGAACCUUACCAGGUCUUGACAUCUUGCGCUAACCUCAGAGAUGAGGCGUUCCCUUCGGGGACGCAAUGACAGGUGGUGCAUGGUCGUCGUCAGCUCGUGUCGUGAGAUGUUGGGUUAAGUCCCGCAACGAGCGCAACCCUUGUUACUAGUUGCCAGCAUUCAGUUGGGCACUCUAGUGAGACUGCCGGUGACAAACCG